GGGGGAAUAUUGCACAAUGGAGGGAACUUUGAUGCAGCGAGGCCGCGGGAGUGAGGAAGGAAUUCGUUUCGAAAAACUCUGUUCGAUGGGAAGAAAAGGACUGUACCAUAGGAGAAAGCUCCGGCUAAAAACGGGCCAGAAGCCGCGGUAAUACGUAUGGAGCGAGCGUUGUCCGGAAUUAUUGGGCGUAAAGGGUGCGCAGGCGGCUUUACAAGUUGGAUGUGAAAUAUUGUGGCUCAACCACAAACGUGCAUCCAAAACUGCAAAGCUUGAGUUAAGGAGAGGUAAGUGGAAUUCCUGGUGUAGCGGUGGAAUGCGUAGAUAUCAGGAGGAAUACCGGUGGCGAAGGCGACUUACUGGACUUAAACUGACGCUCAGGCACGAAAGCGUGGGGAGCAAACAGG
This 404-nucleotide ribosomal RNA is filed under the name Fusobacteriota bacterium. Its description in RNAcentral is "Fusobacteria bacterium partial 16S ribosomal RNA". It matches the Rfam family "Bacterial small subunit ribosomal RNA", at positions 355 to 776 of the family's 1533-position model. Lineage: Bacteria; Fusobacteriati; Fusobacteriota. The record is from RNAcentral.